UGGCCGCUGAUAUGUCUGGUAUUCUUGGGUUCGAUACUCUGAAAAACGAACCAAAGUAGCAGACGUAUCGACGGCCGG
This is a non-coding RNA of Caenorhabditis remanei, 78 nucleotides long. Lineage: Eukaryota; Metazoa; Nematoda; Chromadorea; Rhabditida; Rhabditidae. The record is from Rfam.